GGUAGCAUGCUUGUCUGAGUGUCUGUGGAUCCCACUCAGCACUGGUGAUUACUUUAUUUUAUUUUAUCGUACUCACUAGUAGCUGGUUGCUUUGGCUUUGACGGUCUGAACUGACUGUCUUUGCUUAAAUUCUACAUUCAUGUACGUGCAUAGAUCUAGAAACAUCUUGGCCCGUUGAAUAACGGUGCUGGCAUUCUCGUCUAUCUCUGGUAGCUUUAGGGCUUUCUUGAGUUUGAUGGUGAGAUUGUUAAAGCCUGUCUUUUGGCAAGCCUUGAUUGUGGCUAAAUCUAGCUAUGCUGUUAAUGUUAAAUUAACCGGCUAGCUAUCCAAUUCCGGAUCUCAGAUCAAGCAAGAUGACCCGCCGAAUUUAAGCAUAUAAUUAAGCGGAGGAAAAGAAACUAACUAGGAUUCCCUCAGUAACGGCGAGUGAAGCGGGACUAGCUCAGGAUGUGAAUCUGCGCUUUAAUGGCGCCGAAUUGUGGUCUAUAGACCUUGACGUUAUCUGCCGGGCCAAGUUCCUUGGAAAAGGACAGCUGAGAGGGUGAGACUCCCGUCCGCCUGGUAGAGUGAGUCAUGUGUCAACGAGUCGAGUUGUUUGGGAUUGCAGCUCUAAUUUGGUGGUAAAUUCCAUCUAAAGCUAAAUAUUGGUGGGAGACCGAUAGCGUACAAGUACCGUGAGGGAAAGAUGCAAAGAACUUUGAAAAGAGAGUUAAAGAGUACCUGAAAUUGCUGAAACGGAAGCGAAGGAAACCAGUGUUUGUUGGUUCAUAUUUCCCUGGCCACUUGUGGUUUGGGCGCUGUGAGCUUGCGUGUGUU
RNAcentral lists this ribosomal RNA (816 nucleotides) under Pseudo-nitzschia sp. 1 MLR-2013. Its description in RNAcentral is "eukaryotic LSU rRNA". The stretch from base 335 to 816 matches the Rfam family "Eukaryotic large subunit ribosomal RNA", at positions 1 to 481 of the family's 3401-position model. The record is from RNAcentral. Lineage: Eukaryota; Bacillariophyta; Bacillariophyceae; Bacillariales; Bacillariaceae.